AGCGAACGCUGGCGGCAGGCCUAACACAUGCAAGUCGAACGAACCUUUCGGGGUUAGUGGCGGACGGGUGAGUAACACGUGGGAACGUGACUUUAGGUUCGGCCUAACUCAGGGAAACUUGUGCUAAUACCGAAUGUGCCCUUCGGGGGAAUGAUUUAUCGCCUUUAGAGCGGCCCGCGUCUGAUUAGCUAGUUGGUUGAGGUAAUGGUUCACCAAGGCGACAUUCAGUAGUUGGUCUGAGAGGAUGGUCCGCCACAUUUGGACUGAGACACGGCCCAAACUCCUACGGGAGGCAGCAGUGGGUAAUGUUGCGCAAUGGGCGAAAGCCUGACGCAGCCAGGCCGCGUGAAUGAUGAAGGUCGUAGGAUUGUAAAAUUCUUUCACCGAGGACGGUAAUGACGGUACCCGGAGAAGAAGCCCCGGCUAACUACGUG
Molecule: ribosomal RNA, 434 nt
Filed under: uncultured bacterium
Lineage: Bacteria
Description: partial 16S ribosomal RNA
Rfam family: Bacterial small subunit ribosomal RNA
Source: RNAcentral